AUUAAAAAUGUACGCCUAAGUGGCGCUGAAAAGUGUCACUUAGUGCUGUAUAUAACCACCUGUUUACCUUUACCUGUUGCUUCCGUGGAGUAUGAGUGCCCUAACUGAAUAAGUCUGGGUUACUUUCCACGGGUGUAUUUAAAAAAUUGUCUUGCUGAAUUGUCUGAUAAAAAAUUUAAUAAGUUAAAACUUUCAACAACGGAUCUCUAGGUUCUCGCAUCGAUGAAGAACGCAGCGAAAUGCGAUAAGUAGUGUGAAUUGCAGAUUUCAGUGAAUCAUCGAAUCUUUGAACGCACAUUGCGCCCUUUGGUAUUCCGAAGGGCAUGCCUGUCUGAGCGUCAAUAAAUCAAUCAAACUUUAGUUUGGUAUUGGGAGAAGUGGUUAUGCCUCUCUCCUUUAAGCUAUUGGCGACACUAUUUCAGCUUGUAAGACGUAGUAAGCAAUUUCUCGUUAAAGCAACUGUAUAGGCGUCUGCCAACUGAACGAUUUAUUUUUUAAGCUUGACCUCAGAUCAGGUAGGGAUACCCCCUGAACUUAAGCAUAUCAAUA
This 549-nucleotide ribosomal RNA is filed under the name Ascobolus stercorarius. Its description in RNAcentral is "eukaryotic LSU rRNA". The stretch from base 188 to 341 matches the Rfam family "5.8S ribosomal RNA". The record is from RNAcentral. Lineage: Eukaryota; Fungi; Ascomycota; Pezizomycetes; Pezizales; Ascobolaceae.